GACGAACGCUGGCGGCGUGCCUAAUACAUGCAAGUUGAGCGCUGAAGGUUGGUACUUGUACCAACUGGAUGAGCAGCGAACGGGUGAGUAACGCGUGGGGAAUCUGCCUUUGAGCGGGGGACAACAUUUGGAAACGAAUGCUAAUACCGCAUAAAAACUUUAAACACAAGUUUUAAGUUUGAAAGAUGCAAUUGCAUCACUCAAAGAUGAUCCCGCGUUGUAUUAGCUAGUUGGUGAGGUAAAGGCUCACCAAGGCGAUGAUACAUAGCCGACCUGAGAGGGUGAUCGGCCACAUUGGGACUGAGACACGGCCCAAACUCCUACGGGAGGCAGCAGUAGGGAAUCUUCGGCAAUGGACGAAAGUCUGACCGAGCAACGCCGCGUGAGUGAAGAAGGUUUUCGGAUCGUAAAACUCUGUUGGUAGAGAAGAACGUUGGUGAGAGUGGAAAGCUCAUCAAGUGACGGUAACUACCCAGAAAGGGACGGCUAACUACGUGCCAGCAGCCGCGGUAAUACGUAGGUCCCGAGCGUUGUCCGGAUUUAUUGGGCGUAAAGCGAGCGCAGGUGGUUUAUUAAGUCUGGUGUAAAAGGCAGUGGCUCAACCAUUGUAUGCAUUGGAAACUGGUAGACUUGAGUGCAGGAGAGGAGAGUGGAAUUCCAUGUGUAGCGGUGAAAUGCGUAGAUAUAUGGAGGAACACCGGUGGCGAAAGCGGCUCUCUGGCCUGUAACUGACACUGAGGCUCGAAAGCGUGGAGAGCAAACAGGAUUAGAUACCCUGGUAGUCCACGCCGUAAACGAUGAGUGCUAGAUGUAGGGAGCUAUAAGUUCUCUGUAUCGCAGCUAACGCAAUAAGCACUCCGCCUGGGGAGUACGACCGCAAGGUUGAAACUCAAAGGAAUUGACGGGGGCCCGCACAAGCGGUGGAGCAUGUGGUUUAAUUCGAAGCAACGCGAAGAACCUUACCAGGUCUUGACAUACUCGUGCUAUUCCUAGAGAUAGGAAGUUCCUUCGGGACACGGGAUACAGGUGGUGCAUGGUUGUCGUCAGCUCGUGUCGUGAGAUGUUGGGUUAAGUCCCGCAACGAGCGCAACCCCUAUUGUUAGUUGCCAUCAUUAAGUUGGGCACUCUAACGAGACUGCCGGUGAUAAACCGGAGGAAGGUGGGGAUGACGUCAAAUCAUCAUGCCCCUUAUGACCUGGGCUACACACGUGCUACAAUGGAUGGUACAACGAGUCGCGAGACAGUGAUGUUUAGCUAAUCUCUUAAAACCAUUCUCAGUUCGGAUUGUAGGCUGCAACUCGCCUACAUGAAGUCGGAAUCGCUAGUAAUCGCGGAUCAGCACGCCGUGGUGAAUACGUUCCCGGGCCUUGUACACACCGCCCGUCACACCACGGGAGUUGGGAGUACCCGAAGUAGGUUGCCUAACCGCAAGGAGGGCGCUUCCUAAGGUAAGACCGAUGACUGGGGUG
RNAcentral lists this ribosomal RNA (1469 nucleotides) under uncultured bacterium. Its description in RNAcentral is "bacterial SSU rRNA". It matches the Rfam family "Bacterial small subunit ribosomal RNA". The record is from RNAcentral.